UCUCCCAGUAUUAGUGUAUUAUUAUCUAAGUAUGUCUUUACUUUGGUUAUUAAUUGAUUGAUAUACUUGGCAGCUGCCACAUUCGGGGCAUAAAUAUUCAUGAUUGUUAGGUCCUCUUGUUGGAUAGAUCCUUUAAGUAUGAUAUAGUGUCCCUCUUCAUCUCUUACUACAGUCUUUGGGAUAAACUUCAAUUUAUCUGUUAUGAGGAUUGCUACCUCUUCUUUUUGAGGAGCAUUUGAAUGGUAAAUGGUUUUCCAGUCUUUCAUUUUCAGGCUGUAGGUGUCCUUAGGCCUCAAAUGAGUCUCUUGUGGACAGCAAAUAGAUGGGUCUUGCUUUAUUAUCCAGUCUGAAACUCUCCAUCUUUUGAUGGGAUCAUUAAGCCCAUUCACGUUCAAAGUUACUAUUGAAAGAUAUGAAUUUAGUGUCAUCAUAAUACCUAUUCAGUCCCUGUUUUUGUGGAUUAUUUCUUUGGGCUUCCUCUUUCUUUUACAGAAUCCCCCUUAAUAUUUCUUGCAGAGCUGUUUUGGUGGUCAUAUUCUUUCAGUUUCUGCCUAUCUUGGAAACUCUUUAUCUCUCCUAUUCUGAAUGAGAGCAUUGUUGGAUAAAGUAUUCUUGGCUGCAUGUUCUUCUCAUUUAGGACCCUGAAUAUAUCCUGCCAGUCCUUUCUGGCCUGCCAGGUCUCUGUGGAGAGGUCUGCUGUUAAUCUAAUAUUUCUCCCCAUAUAAGUUAGGGAGCUCUUGUCUCUUGCUGCUUUGAGGAUUUUCUCUUUAUCUUUGGAAUUUGCAAGUUUCACCAUUAAAUGUCGAGGUGUUGAGUGGUUUUAUUGAUUUUUUGGGGGGGGGGACCUCUCUAACUCCCGGAUCUGAAUGCCUGUUUUCCUCCACCAAUUAGCAAAGUUAUCAGCUAUGAUUUGUUCAAAUAUGCUUUCUGGCCCUCUGCCCCUCUUGGUGCCCUCUGGAACCCCAAUUAUACCUAGAUUUUUCCUUCUGAGGCUGUCAUUUAUUUCCCUUAGCCUUUUCUCAUGGUCUUUUCAUUGUUUUUCUCUUUUUUCCUCGGCUUCCUUCCUUGCCAUCAACUUGUCUUCUAUGUCACUCAUUCUUUCUUCUACCUCAUUAACCCUUGUCGUUCAGACCUCCUGUUUGGAUUACAUGUCAUUUAAUUGAUUUUUAAUUUUGACCUGAUUAGAUCUAAAUUCUGCAGUCAUGAAGUCUCUUGAAUCCUUUAUGCUUUUUUCCAGAGCCACCAGUAUCUUUAUAAUUGUGCUUCUGAAUUGGCUUCGUGACAUCAAGUUGUAAUCUGAAUUCUGUAACUCUGUGGCAGAGAGUACUGUUUCUGAUUCUUUGUUUUGUGGUGAGUUCUUCCUUCUAGUCAUUUUGCUCAGUGUAGAGGGUCUGUAUGAGUGGGCUGCAUCAAGAAUAUCAACCACGACCUAAGUAAAUUUCACCCUAGAUGAUUCUGCCAAGGUCAGAAACCAGAAAUUGAAAACAAAGAUCAGAAUGAAAUAUAAAAGGACCACUAAAGUGAAAAACGAAUUUUAAAAGAAAGUAGUAAAAAAUAAAAGGCCAGGAAUCCUAAAGAAGAGAAAAAGAAAAGAAAAGAAAAAAAAAGUGGGGGGAGACUGGGAGAUGGUGUUGGUGAUGAAGUUGUAGUGGAGGGAGAAUGUAGUCUACCUGAGGGGUUCUAGAGGGUGAUCCUCUGUUUCUGAAUAUAUUAAGUUCUGUAUAUUAGAAGAUGCUCUGUCCCAAAUUUAUAUAAAUCAGAAGUAUUUGUAGAGGGCCCCAACACUGACCACCAAAACAUAAAUGAGGUAAAAGAGGGGGGCAGAAUGAGAAUGAGGAAUCUCAGAGAAUGAACCAGCAUGGUAUGCCACUUGGUUCUGGGUGCAUGCUGGUCAUGUUUUAGAAGGUAUUAACUUCUGCCAUUGUAGAACAAAAUGAGGCAGAGAAAAGAAAAAACAAAACAAAAUAUCUUGUAUAUGUCCCCAAAUUAAGUUGAGUAUGUUGAAGAGAAUCUAGAAGUGGAAAAUAUAUCUAGGUCCUGUAAUUGUAGAAAUAUGAUAGUCAUAAAGGAAGAAUCUUAAAAAUGAAGAGGAGGUAUUGUAGUUAAGGUGGGAAAAGGAAAAAAAUUGGAAAUUUACAGUCUAAUAUAAAAACAAGUUAUACUGGCAAAA
RNAcentral lists this long non-coding RNA (2170 nucleotides) under Canis lupus familiaris (dog). RNAcentral's name for it is "lncRNA (ENSCAFG00000057710.1)". Lineage: Eukaryota; Metazoa; Chordata; Mammalia; Carnivora; Canidae. The record is from RNAcentral.